CGCACCUUGCGCUCCUUGGUAUUCCGAGGAGCAUGCCUGUUUGAGUGUCAUGAAACCCUCAAACCCAAGUUUUGGAUUUCGGUCCAUGCUUGAGUUUGGAUUUGGAUGUUUGCCGGUGAUGAACCGACUCAUCUUAAAAGUAUUAGCUGGAUCUGUCUAUAUGACUGGUUUGACUUGGCAUAAUAAGUAUUUUGCUGAGGACAUCUUCGGAUGGCCAGGACCUAGACUACUGUCUGCUAACUAAACCAUCACUUUAAGUGCAUCCUUGGAUGUUACUCAUUGUGUAACUUUGACAUCUGGCCUCAAAUCAGGUAGGACUACCCGCUGAACUUAA
RNAcentral lists this unclassified non-coding RNA (334 nucleotides) under Filobasidium stepposum. RNAcentral describes it as "partial contains 5.8S ribosomal RNA, internal transcribed spacer 2, and large subunit ribosomal RNA". Lineage: Eukaryota; Fungi; Basidiomycota; Tremellomycetes; Filobasidiales; Filobasidiaceae. The record is from RNAcentral.